Caenorhabditis elegans is the source of this 21-nucleotide non-coding RNA. The record is from Ensembl. NCBI's taxonomy places the organism in Eukaryota, Metazoa, Nematoda, Chromadorea, Rhabditida, Rhabditidae.
UCCUCGACUAUUUCGCCAAAA